Molecule: ribosomal RNA, 82 nt
Filed under: Methylobacterium sp. DB0501
Lineage: Bacteria; Pseudomonadati; Pseudomonadota; Alphaproteobacteria; Hyphomicrobiales; Methylobacteriaceae
Description: partial 16S ribosomal RNA
Source: RNAcentral
AGCCUCCGUUUAUGUUGUGAUCAGCUUUGAUCAGCUCUUCAACUUGAGAGUUUGAUCCUGGCUCAGAGCGAACGCUGGCGGC